CGGCGUGCCUAAUACAUGCAAGUAGAACGCUGAAGAGAGGAGCUUGCUCUUCUUGGAUGAGUUGCGAACGGGUGAGUAACGCGUAGGUAACCUGCCUUGUAGCGGGGGAUAACUAUUGGAAACGAUAGCUAAUACCGCAUAACAAUGGAUGACACAUGUCAUUUAUUUGAAAGGGGCAAUUGCUCCACUACAAGAUGGACCUGCGUUGUAUUAGCUAGUAGGUGAGGUAAUGGCUCACCUAGGCGACGAUACAUAGCCGACCUGAGAGGGUGAUCGGCCACACUGGGACUGAGACACGGCCCAGACUCCUACGGGAGGCAGCAGUAGGGAAUCUUCGGCAAUGGGGGCAACCCUGACCGAGCAACGCCGCGUGAGUGAAGAAGGUUUUCGGAUCGUAAAGCUCUGUUGUAAGUCAAGAACGGGUGUGAGAGUGGAAAGUUCACACUGUGACGGUAGCUUACCAGAAAGGGACGGCUAACUACGUGCCAGCAGCCGCGGUAAUACGUAGGUCCCGAGCGUUGUCCGGAUUUAUUGGGCGUAAAGCGAGCGCAGGCGGUUUGAUAAGUCUGAAGUUAAAGGCUGUGGCUCAACCAUAGUUCGCUUUGGAAACUGUCAAAC
This 618-nucleotide ribosomal RNA is filed under the name Streptococcus thermophilus. RNAcentral's name for it is "bacterial SSU rRNA". It matches the Rfam family "Bacterial small subunit ribosomal RNA", at positions 40 to 641 of the family's 1533-position model. Lineage: Bacteria; Bacillati; Bacillota; Bacilli; Lactobacillales; Streptococcaceae. The record is from RNAcentral.